GAAGAAAGAGGGAGGCGUGCCUAAUACAUGCAAGUAGAACGCUGAAGGAGGAGCUUGCUCUUCUGGAUGAGUUGCGAACGGGUGAGUAACGCGUAGGUAACCUGCCUGGUAGCGGGGGAUAACUAUUGGAAACGAUAGCUAAUACCGCAUAAGAGUAGAUGUUGCAUGACAUUUGCUUAAAAGGUGCAAUUGCAUCCCUACCAGAUGGACCUGCGUUGUAUUAGCUAGUUGGUGGGGUAACGGCUCACCAAGGCGACGAUACAUAGCCGACCUGAGAGGGUGAUCGGCCACACUGGGACUGAGACACGGCCCAGACUCCUACGGGAGGCAGCAGUAGGGAAUCUUCGGCAAUGGACGGAAGUCUGACCGAGCAACGCCGCGUGAGUGAAGAAGGUUUUCGGAUCGUAAAGCUCUGUUGUAAGAGAAGAACGAGUGUGAGAGUGGAAAGUUCACACUGUGACGGUAUCUUACCAGAAAGGGACGGCUAACUACGUG
RNAcentral lists this ribosomal RNA (495 nucleotides) under uncultured bacterium. RNAcentral describes it as "partial 16S ribosomal RNA". It matches the Rfam family "Bacterial small subunit ribosomal RNA", at positions 38 to 507 of the family's 1533-position model. The record is from RNAcentral.